CAUCCUCCAAGGCUAAAUACUCCUGACUGACCGAUAGUGAACCAGUACCGUGAGGGAAAGGCGAAAAGAACCCCGGCGAGGGGAGUGAAAAAGAACCUGAAACCGUGUACGUACAAGCAGUGGGAGCCCCACCACUAAGCCAGUGGUGAACUCCACAUACGCAUCCUUUGCUGAGGAUACGGUUAACGGAGCGAAAGCGACGUUCAACCGCAAAAGAAGCAGAGGGGGCUUAGUGGUGGGGUGACUGCGUACCUUUUGUAUAAUGGGUCAGCGACUUAUAUUCUGUAGCAAGGUUAACCGUAUAGGGGAGCCGUAGGGAAACCGAGUCUUAACCGGGCGUUAAGUUGCAGGGUAUAGACCCGAAACCCGGUGAUCUAGCCAUGGGCAGGUUGAAGGUUGGGUAACACUAACUGGAGGACCGAACCGACUAAUGUUGAAAAAUUAGCGGAUGACCUGUGGCUGGGGGUGAAAGGCCAAUCAAACCGGGAGAUAGCUGGUUCUCCCCGAAAGCUAUUUAGGUAGCGCCUCGUGAAUUCAUCUCCGGGGGUAGAGCACUGUUUCGGCUAGGGGGCCAUCCCGGCUUACCAACCCGAUGCAAACUGCGAAUACCGGAGAAUGUUAUCACGGGAGACACACGGCGGGUGCUAACGUCCGUCGUGAAGAGGGAAACAACCCAGACCGCCAGCUAAGGUCCCAAAGUCAUGGUUAAGUGGGAAACGAUGUGGGAAGGCCCAGACAGCCAGGAUGUUGGCUUAGAAGCAGCCAUCAUUUAAAGAAAGCGUAAUAGCUCACUGGUCGAGUCGGCCUGCGCGGAAGAUGUAACGGGGCUAAACCAUGCACCGAAGCUGCGGCAGCGACACUCAGGUGUUGUUGGGUAGGGGAGCGUUCUGUAAGCCUGUGAAGGUGUGUCGUGAGGCAUGCUGGAGGUAUCAGAAGUGCGAAUGCUGACAUAAGUAACGAUAAAGCGGGUGAAAAGCCCGCUCGCCGGAAGACCAAGGGUUCCUGUCCAACGUUAAUCGGGGCAGGGUGAGUCGACCCCUAAGGC
Molecule: ribosomal RNA, 1045 nt
Filed under: Salmonella enterica subsp. enterica serovar Thompson
Lineage: Bacteria; Pseudomonadati; Pseudomonadota; Gammaproteobacteria; Enterobacterales; Enterobacteriaceae
Description: bacterial LSU rRNA
Rfam family: Bacterial large subunit ribosomal RNA
Source: RNAcentral